GAUCGAUUGUAAUAUAGCAGGGUUUUUAUGCCCAAACUACGGAUGUCGUGUUCUCCACAGGGACUAGACAACGGCGACUAUGCUCUGGCUAAAACUAGGUGACAGAAUUUAGAUGAUGAGAACAAAAAGUAAACCUAAACUAUCAAUGAUUGUCAGCAAACAAAAUUGCGGAUAAGCAACAAGGGAGAAUCAGAUUUUACUCAAUAUCUUUUUGGUAUUUUCAUCACACUUGAGAAUCUAAAACACUAACACAAAGGGGAAUAAUAUGACAAGGACACAUAUAUAACUAUCAUACAUGAACAAAGGGAAGAAACAAUACUAAGACAGGGACGAAAAUAUAUCACAACACAAACACACAUAUAUGUAUAUAUCACAGGACACCACACACAUAUGAAGAAUACUGUUUCACUAAACAAAGUAUGACAGGUCAAAUAUUUCGCAUAACAAACAUAUAUAUCCACAUGUACAUAGCUAACACAGGAACUAAGAAUUUAAAGAGGUUCAAACUUCUCACUUGACAGAGCACACAAACAACACAAAAAUUGACUAGUAAUCUUAGUUCUUACAAAACACUAAUUGAUAAACAUGGCACAUAUAUUGAAUAAUACUACUAGAAAAGUAUAGGUCUCUGAACUAAACAAAAUACGUAAUACAUUACAAUUUCCAUGAAUUACAGAGAGGGAGAAAGAGAACAGCAGGUUCAGUUGGAGACGAGCAGCAGCAGAGAUAAGGGAAGAAGAGAGAAGCAGCAGCAAGGUUAGGAGCAGCAGGGGACGCAGAAGAAAUGGAGCAGAGUAGCAAGUAGGGGAAGAGAAGCAGCAGUAGUUGGUUCAGAUAAGGAGCAGCAGCCUGUAGCAGAGGCGUGAGGAGAAGGGAGCAGCAGCAGUUAUGGUUCAGGGAGGAAGAAGAGGAGACAGCAGCAGGAGGUCAAGGGGAAAAAGAAGAUGCAGUGGGGGUGUGGAGAGAAGAGCAACAUCAUGAGUUAGGAGAAUUAGAGCAGCAAAACGGGGGCGCCCUCACGCGGAUGACCAGACGCCUGCGCUCCCCUUUGUCUGGUUGGUUGUGCGAGGUACGGCGAUGGCUGGAGAUGGUGGAGGGAUGGCGCAGUGAAGGUGGAGAUGGAUCGAUGAUGGUGGAUGCUGGUGAUGGCGCGGUGGCGCGGCUGCGAUGGAUGGAUGGUGUAGGGGGAGGAGAGUGGUGGCGCGCGGUGGUGCUGGUGGUGAUGGUGAUGUGGUGGGAGCGCGAUGGCACGGGUGGAGGUGCUGUGGGGUUGUGGAGCAGGUGGAGGUGCUGGGUGGCGUGCCGCCACGCCGGCCUGGCCGCGGCGGCGGCCGGAGGUGGAAGAAGGAGGCGGGGGAAAGAGGGGAUGGAGAUGCCAGGCAUGAAAGGGCAUUAGCUGCCGCUAGGGAUUUUGACCCCUCCUCUGAUCUGCCACUUUGCAAUUUUGGCCCUUCUCCGUUUCUUCUUUCUUCGUAAGAAGGUCCCUUUCUUCUUUAACUUGUCCCAUGGAGCAUCAUUUCUUCACACACAAGUCCCUCUGUCUUUCUUCUUCCUUUUCACUUGACUAGUUCUCUUAGCCACUAGUCCAGAUCUUGAAGUUUAUAGUGCCUUUGCGCACUUUUCUGCAAAAGAAACACAAUGACUAGUAAAUGAUACUUUAUAUGAUUUUCAUGCAAAUAUUCAAUAUUUCACAACAAGAAUUGAUGGUCAUAUAUCAAUAAAUAAUAUAUUUCUAUGCCAAAAUUGUAUAUAUGAAAUGUGCUUAUCAAGUUCCCCCACACUUAAAUCUUUGCUUGUCCUCAAGCAAAGGCAUAUGACAAAGGCUAGAUAAUGAACAGUGAACUGACUAGAAAUGUCAAGUGAAGCAGGUCUCUAAACAGUGCAUGCCUUGGACUUAGCUAGUGAAAAUUAAUGGUUAGGAGUGCUACAUAUCAAUAGGACACUAGUAAACUCGACCAUUUUAAACUUUUACAAUGAUAAAAGAGGAUCAACAAGUUUAAAUGAUGACUGCGCCAAAUGGUUCCUAAAGAGAGCAUGAUCCCGAGAACAAAAAGAACUGGAAUUAAAUCUCUUAUUUGCAGAAAUAUGACUCUGUGGUUGAACCACUUAUUAAAUUUGAAGGAAGUAAUGAUAAUAUUUUAUCAGUCUCACCAAAGGAACAUACCACCGAUCCCGAGAACAUGGUAUACACCUGGCUCGACCAAUUAUUAGUUUUUUUAGUUUGUUGGUCUCCCCAAAGGAACAUACCACCGAUCCCGAGAACAUGGUAUACACCUGGUUCGACAAUUACAUUUUUUUUAUUAUUAAUUACUGCCCAAGCUAACCCGAUUUCACAUGCCACCGAUCCCGGGAACAUGGCAUGCUACUGUAGGUAGUCAAACUUAUUUAUUCAUUAUUACUUAUCUUAAAUGAACAAUGCAUAAGAACAAAAACAGGAAUCAUCACUUCUCCAUGUCUGGUUCACAUGCUACCGAUCCAGGGAACAUAGCAUGCUAAUCCAUAGUGGUUAGGUGAUUGCUCUCAAUGGGAAGACACUUGGCACAAAUUCAGCAUCUAAACAUGGUGAUCUAGGUGUAUCGAGGUAAAAGCAAAAAAUGAUUAAGUUUUCUAGUGUACUAGGGAUUUGAGCACUCAAAACUAAUAGCUUUCACUAAUUUCAGCAAAGCAAGCAUUGUAUAGAUCACUAGUUUACAAGGCAUUCAACACUCAGUUCACAUAUUCACAUCAAUUGCCCUAUGUCGAAGGUAAAAUUCAGUGGGACGGUAUUUAAGAAAUGACUCAAGCAACCCAAAUAACAUGUGAUUUCAGCAUGUAUCAAUGGAUGAUAUUCUCGGAAUGGGUCAUGAAACAGCUCACCGGGCUUUGAUGAUGUAGCACUCUCUCGAUCACCUCACCAACUGCAGCUCCUCUCCUUUUGCUUCUCUAUCCUCAUGCCUGCUCCAGCUUCUCCCUUCCUCGUGUGUGCCCCCUUGCUUCUCUUCAUCCCCAUGCUCUGAGUCCACCAGGGUCCCAAGGAAUGUCACCUCGAACCUGGUCAGCAUGUAAUGGAUCGUGCACAAGCAAAAACCUGAAAGCACUCUCAACAAAAGAGACAAUGCAAGUGGUAGGGUUAAUACCCUCCAAGUGAUCAAUCGAAUAUCCAAUUACAUAAGCAUAACUAUAAAGCACAUGUUUAGGAUGGUAGAAAUCAGCAAGGUUGACACUAACAUGAGGAUGAAAUUUAUCAUUAAGCUCAAGACUAGCAUAGGAAUAAUAUGUUUCAUUAAGCAUAGGACUAGCAUAAGGAAAAUAAGUGUCAUCAUCAGGAAUGAGAGCAAUGCCACCAACAAUGUAUGUAUGAUCAUGUCCAAGCAAAUAAUUUUUCAAGUCUAGCUUAAUUGAUGGUAUCAUGUAAUGCAAGGUAGUAGCAAAGAAAUCACAAGGCAUCAUGUCAUCAAGAGGAUUGGGUAAACCUGACACAUCACGCUCUGGUAUGACAAUAGGCAAAUGAAUCUCAUGUUCUUCAUCUUCAUCUACAGCAGCUUCUUGUACUUCUUCAGGAGUAGUAGAUGAUGAGUCUUCAACUUGAUCACUUGGGAAUUGCAGCUCUUGAUCAUCUUGUUCCUUGUCUUCUAGUUCAUCUUCUUCAAUCUGAGGUAUUUCUUCCUCUGGACUCUUGCUAUCUUGCUCAACUGGAUGUGACGGUGUUGGAACCUCACAUGUAUCAAGGGGAAUCUCGGCAACACUCAACUCUAGCUGUGAAGAAAUAGUGCUGCCAGCGUUGAUGUUCUUCUCAAUCUUCCUUACUUCUUCCACUAGCUCUUUUCCACUCUUGAUCUUCUUCAUUUCAUCUAGUAUAACCUUCCUAAUAGGAUCAUCCUCGGCACUCCAAGUGAACUCGAGACUCCAAAGUGUGAGCUUGUCUAUGUCAUCGAACUCAUCUUGUGCGGGCACUUGCACACGAGCUUGCACAAAAGGUGCUGGAGUUGUUGGUUGACCAAAUGGAGGACCAUUUAACUCCAUUGGACACAUCUCCUGGUAUUGAGGUAUAUGAGUAGGAGGUGAAUAAAAUUGUUGUGGUGCAUGGUUGUGGCUCUCCUCUUCAUACCUAAAUCCCUGCAUAUGAUUACUAGAAGAAAACGAUGAGAUCUCAGGGUUGUUGCUCCUAUAUGACAUAUUCAGGCUUUCAGGCCACCCAUGUGAGUAAUUGUUUUGGUAUGAGCUAUGUUGUUGAGCGAAGCUCAUGCCAAAACAAUCCGGAGGAUGGGAGUAACCACGCUGACAUUCAGCGGGCGAAUGGCCCUGAAAUCCACAAAUAUGGCAAGUAGGAGCAACAUAAGGAUGACCUCUAGAAUAAGGAUCGUAAGAACUAGGCCUAUCCUCAAAAACUCCUUCUCGCUGCCAAGCUAAAUCAUCUAAUCGAUGGGAAAUCUUACCUAUCAGUUCUUGAACACUUUCCGUGCUGUUUGUAGUGUUGCUCGCAUAAGCCUGAUGAUCUGAAUAGUAAGCCAUAAUCGAGAGGAUAAUCCAACCUGCAAAAAGGAAAAGAAGACAAAAAGAUACUAACUAGAACAGGGGUUAGUGGCUAGAGAUAUAUCACAAAUAUAUAAAGCACAAAAAGGAAACAAGCUAAACCUAGUCUAAAGCCUCACACAAACGCUCGACGCUAAUCCCCGGCAACGGCGCCAAAAUGAUCAAUUGUAAUAUAGCAGGGUUUUUAUGCCCAAACUACGGAUGUCGUGUUCUCCACAGGGACUAGACGACGGCGACUAUGCUCUGGCUAAAGCUAGGUGACAGAAUUUAGAUGAUGAGAACAAAAAGUAAACCUAAACUAUCAAUGAUUGUCAGCAAACAAAAUUGCGGAUAAGCAACAAGGGAGAAUCAGAUUUUACUCAAUAUCUUUUUGGUAUUUUCAUCACACUUGAGAAUCUAAAACACUAACACAAAGGGGAAUAAUAUGACAACGACACAUAUAUAACUAUCAUACAUGAACAAAGGGAAGAAACAAUACUAAGACAGGGACGAAAAUAUAUCACAACACAAACACACAUAUAUGUAUAUAUCAUAGGACACCACACACAUAUGAAAAAUACUGUUUCACUAAACAAAGUAUGACAGGUCAAAUAUUUCGCAUAACAAACAUAUAUAUCCACAUGUACAUAGCUAACACAGGAACUAAGAAUUUAAAGAGGUUCAAACUUCUCACUUGACAGAGCACACAAACAACACAAAAAUUGACUAGUAAUCUUAGUUCUUACAAAACACUAAUUGAUAAACAGGGCACAUAUAUUGAAUAAUACUACUAGAAAAGUAUAGGUCUCUGAACUAAACAAAAUACUUAAUACAUUACAAUUUCCAUGAAUUACAGAGAGGGAGAAAGAGAACAGCAGGUUCAGUUGGAGACGAGCAGCAGCAGAGAUAAGGGAAGAAGAGAGAAGCAGCAGCAAGGUUAGGAGCAGCAGGGGACGCAGAAGAAAUGGAGCAGAGUAGCAAGUAGGGGAAGAGAAGCAGCAGCAGUUGGUUCAGAUAAGGAGCAGCAGCCUGUAGCAGAGGCGUGAGGAGAAGGGAGCAGCAGCAGUUAUGGUUCAGGGAGGAAGAAGAGGAGAUAGCAGCAGGAGGUCAAGGGGAAAAAGAAGAUGCAGUGGGGGUGUGGAGAGAAGAGCAACAUCAUGAGUUAGGAGAAGUAGAGCAGCAAAACGGGGGCGCCCUCACGCGGAUGACCAGACGCCUAUGCUCCCAUUUGUCUGGUUGGUCGCGCGAGGUAUGGCGGUGGCUGGAGAUGGUGGAGGGAUGGCACAGUGAAGGUGGAGAUGGAUCGAUGAUGGUGGAUGCUGUUGAUGGCGCGGUGGCGCGGCUGCGAUGGAUGGAUGGUGUAGGAGGAGGAGAGUGGUGGCGCGCGGUGGUGCCGGCGGUGAUGGUGAUGUGGUGGGAGCGCGAUGGCACGGGUGGAGGUGCUGCGGGGUUGUGGAGCAGGUAGAGGUGUUGGGUGGCGCGUCGCCACGCCGGCCUGGCCGCGGCGGCGGCCGGAGGUGGAAGAAGGAGGCGGGGGAAAGAGGGGAUGGAGAUGCCAGGCACGAAAGGGGAUUAGCUGCCGCUAGGGAUUUUGACCCCUCCUCUGAUCUACCACUUUGCAAUUUUGGCCCUUCUCCUUUUCUUCUUUCUUCAUAAGAAGGUCCCUUUCUUCUUUAACUUGUCCCAUGGAGCAUCAUUUCUUCACACACAAGUCCCUCUGUCUUUCUUCUUCCUUUUCACUUGACUGGUUCUCUUAGCCACUAGUCCAGAUCUUGAAGUUUAUAG
RNAcentral lists this long non-coding RNA (6276 nucleotides) under Triticum aestivum (bread wheat). Its description in RNAcentral is "long non-coding RNA (TAES_LNC007139)". Lineage: Eukaryota; Viridiplantae; Streptophyta; Magnoliopsida; Poales; Poaceae. The record is from RNAcentral.